CUUGAGGGACAAUGUAUAUGGACAUGUAGGAGGGACUGGGGCUUAAGUCUAAUCCUGAGCUGGGAUUCGAGGCAGGAAUACAAAUCAGGAAAAAACAAUAGAGCAGAAAAGAGAAGUUUGGCAUCUGACUCAAGGUUGCAGCAACGGCAUGAAAUCUGCUCGCUCUGACCCUGGAAAUGCCCAGCUGGAGAACUGGUGUGCAUUUGUGAUGUCUGGGUGGACCAGCUGGGUAACAUCACCAUGCCUGUGCAUAGAGAAGGAAUGAUUCUCCCUCUUCCCUUUCACUGUAUCCAGAGUCUGCUAAUGAGGUCCAGAGGACUGACUGCAGAGCCCAUUUUUCCUUUGUAGGAGGCACAUAUGGUACAAUUAUAAAUUACCCAUACCCAAGCCAAAUACACACACACACACACAGAUUAAAUGUAAGCAGUUAAUGAAACAAACAUAUGAAUUAUAGCAGACAUCAAAGUAUCUCUUUUUCAGGGUUACCAUUUUGGAUUACCAUCUAGCCCAUUAGAUGUUUGCUGAAUAAAUUCAGACCAGUGUUAACCAAUAAAAUACAUAUCUACAUGAAUUAGAUGGUGGUCCAAUAUAAUAUUUUCUAUUAAGUAGUGAAUUGUCUUCUUUUAGAUAUUUUGAAAUUAAUGUCCUCUUUAUCACCUGCUAAAUCUGUAUGUUUUUGUUUAAACACAAUGGAACAAUUCAACAAGGUAUUAUAAGAUUUCAUCUAGUGAGGAUAAAAGCUGUUUAGAAAGCAUGACUUAAAAUUUCUCAAAGCUGUUUACUGUCUUGCCUAAAUUAUGCAGACAGAGCUUAUAUAUUAGGGCCUUUGGAUCUUUAGAUUGGAAACAUUUUCAGAUUUAGAAAAGCUUCAUUGUUUAGUUUGAACUUUUCCAUUUAAAAUAAUCAGAGGUGAAUGGGAAACAUAAUCCUCUUACUAAUGUGUUUUUUUAUGAGUGAAUGCUGAGAAACUUAACAUAAAGAUGCAAUCUGAAAAAAAGAAAUAGAAAAGAACUUUCUCACUUUCACUUAAUUACUAAUAAAAAAUUAUAAAAUAUAAAGCCUAAUGUUUAGUGUCAUCUCUUAUUGGAAUAUG
Molecule: long non-coding RNA, 1093 nt
Organism: Callithrix jacchus (white-tufted-ear marmoset)
Lineage: Eukaryota; Metazoa; Chordata; Mammalia; Primates; Cebidae
Source: RefSeq, a predicted model, not a curated record